CUCCUGUGAUAUUAAGUCCUGGGAAGAAGCUGAGCAAUUCUGUGUAUCCCAGGAUUCCCAUCUGGCAACUGUGACUUCUGUGGGAGAACAGGAAUUUCUUUACAAAACUUUGAAGGGAGAGAGACAUUGGAUUGGGCUGAACGACAGACACACAGAAGACACCUGGACUUGGGUGGAUGGGACGGUUUAUGAUGCUGCCCAGAGCAAAGGGUUCUGGAUUCCAGGACAACCCACCAACUACCAGGGGAAAGAGGACUGUGUGGAGAUGAAGAUAGAGGCACUCGAAGCGUGG
Long non-coding RNA from Gracilinanus agilis (Agile Gracile Mouse Opossum), 292 nucleotides. RefSeq lists it as uncharacterized. NCBI's taxonomy places the organism in Eukaryota, Metazoa, Chordata, Mammalia, Didelphimorphia, Didelphidae. The record is from RefSeq and is a predicted model, not a curated record. The transcript is spliced from 3 exons.